Long non-coding RNA from Oncorhynchus tshawytscha (Chinook salmon), 362 nucleotides. Lineage: Eukaryota; Metazoa; Chordata; Actinopteri; Salmoniformes; Salmonidae. The record is from Ensembl.
GGGAGGGAGGAGGUAGAGGAGGUAGAAGGAGGUAGAGGAGGUAGAGGGAGGUAGAGGAAGGUAGAGGAGGUAGAGGGAGGUAGAGGAGGUAGAGGGAGGGAGAGGUAGAGGAGGUAGAGGGAGGUAGAGGAGGUAGAGGAGGUAGAGGGAGGGAGAGAGGAGGUAGAGGAGGUAGAGGAGGUAGAGGAAGGUAGAGGAGGUAGAGGGAGGGAGAGGUAGAGGUAGAGGAGGGAGAGGUGCUGGUCGGUGAGGUGAGGUGGUGUUUAUUUAAAGUGAAGCUAUAGGAUAGGUAGUACUGGUGGUAGCAGCUGGCCUCUUGCCACAUUUCAAAUCGACCUCCAACUCUAGGAGAAGGUCACGGG